This 301-nucleotide ribosomal RNA is filed under the name uncultured bacterium. Its description in RNAcentral is "partial 16S ribosomal RNA". It matches the Rfam family "Bacterial small subunit ribosomal RNA", at positions 509 to 807 of the family's 1533-position model. The record is from RNAcentral.
CAGCCGCCGCGGGAAUACGGAGGGGGCUAGCGUUGUUCGGAAUUACUGGGCGUAAAGCGCACGUAGGCGGCUUUGUAAGUUAGAGGUGAAAGCCCGGAGCUCAACUCCGGAAUUGCCUUUAAGACUGCAGAGCUAGCAGGUGAGAGAGGUGAGUGGAAUUCCGAGUGUAGAGGUGAAAUUCGUAGAUAUUCGGAAGAACACCAGUGGCGAAGGCAGCCCCCUGGGCCAAUACUGACGCUCAUGCACGAAAGCGUGGGGAGCAAACAGGAUUAGAUACCCCUGUAGUCCCUGUCUCUUAUAC